GGAAGGGUGGCCGAGUGGUUUAAGGCAGCGGUCUUGAAAACCGCCGUGCCCGCAAGGGUACCGUGAGUUCGAAUCUCACCCCUUCCG
Molecule: transfer RNA, 87 nt
Filed under: Pseudorhodoplanes sp.
Lineage: Bacteria; Pseudomonadati; Pseudomonadota; Alphaproteobacteria; Hyphomicrobiales
Description: tRNA-Ser
Rfam family: tRNA
About the family: Transfer RNA (tRNA) molecules are approximately 80 nucleotides in length. Their secondary structure includes four short double-helical elements and three loops (D, anti-codon, and T loops).
Source: RNAcentral